This 497-nucleotide ribosomal RNA is filed under the name uncultured bacterium. RNAcentral's name for it is "partial 16S ribosomal RNA". It matches the Rfam family "Bacterial small subunit ribosomal RNA", at positions 28 to 507 of the family's 1533-position model. The record is from RNAcentral.
GAUGAACGCUGGCGGCGUGCCUAAUACAUGCAAGUCGAGCGAACGGACGAGAAGCUUGCUUCUCUGAUGUUAGCGGCGGACGGGUGAGUAACACGUGGAUCACCUACCUAUAAUACUUGGAUAACUUCGGGAAACCGGAGCUAAUACCGGAUAAUAUUUUGAACCGCAUGGUUCAAAAGUUAAAGACGGUCUUGCUGUCACUUAUAGCUGGAUCCGCGCUGCAUUAGCUAGUUGGUAAGGUAACGGCUUACCAAGGCAACGAUGCAUAGCCGACCUGAGAGGGUGAUCGGCCACACUGGAACUGAGACACGGUCCAGACUCCUACGGGAGGCAGCAGUAGGGAAUCUUGGGCAAUGGGCGAAAGCCUGACGGAGCAACGCCGCGUGAGUGAUGAAGGUCUUCGGAUCGUAAAACUCUGUUAUUAGGGAAGAACAGAUGUGGAAGUAAAUGUGCACAUCUUGACGGUACCUAAUCAGAAAGCAACGGCUAACUACGUG